GGGAUAACGUUUGGAAACGAACGCUAAUACCGCAUAAGACCACACUUCCACAUGGGAGAGGGGUCAAAGGAGCAAUCCGCUGAAAGAUGGGCUCGCGUCCGAUUAGAUAGUUGGGGGGGUAACGGCCCACCAAGUCGACGAUCGGUAGCCGGACUGAGAGGUUGAACGGCCACAUUGGGACUGAGACACGGCCCAGACUCCUACGGGAGGCAGCAGUGAGGGAUAUUGGUCAAUGGGGGAAACCCUGAACCAGCAACGCCGCGUGAGGGAAGACGGUUUUCGGAUUGUAAACCUCUGUCCUCUGUGAAGAUAAUGACGGUAGCAGAGGAGGAAGCUCCGGCUAACUACGUGCCAGCAGCCGCGGUAAUACGUAGGGAGCGAGCGUUGUCCGGAUUUACUGGGUGUAAAGGGUGCGUAGGCGGGUAAGCAAGUCAGAAGUGAAAUCCAUGGGCUUAACCUAUGAACUGCUUUUGAAACUGUUUAUCUUGAGUGAAGUAGAGGUAGGCGGAAUUCCCGGUGUAGCGGUGAGAUGCGUAGAGAUCGGGAGGAACACCAGUGGCGAAGGCGGCCUACUGGGCUUUAACUGACGCUGAAGCACGAAAGCGUGGGUAGCAAACAGGAUUAGAUACCCUGGUAGUCCAUGCCGUAAACGAUGAUUACUAGGUGUGGGGGGACUGACCCCCUCCGUGCCGGAGU
RNAcentral lists this ribosomal RNA (696 nucleotides) under uncultured bacterium. RNAcentral's name for it is "bacterial SSU rRNA". It matches the Rfam family "Bacterial small subunit ribosomal RNA", at positions 140 to 852 of the family's 1533-position model. The record is from RNAcentral.